RNAcentral lists this long non-coding RNA (590 nucleotides) under Sinocyclocheilus anshuiensis. RNAcentral's name for it is "lncRNA (ENSSANG00000031648.1)". Lineage: Eukaryota; Metazoa; Chordata; Actinopteri; Cypriniformes; Cyprinidae. The record is from RNAcentral.
GCUGCUGUUGUUUCAGUGUUUCCACAGAAGUCUCCUGCAGAGGGCAUUGUACCUGCGACAAACACACACACCUCUGUCUGCACACAGUCUACAGCAACUACUCAUACAACAACAGGUGACACACACAGAUAUAAUACAAAACAUGCUGUAAUGGUGAUUAAUGUAAACUAAUGAAGGGUUGUGUGUGUAGCUGGCUCAGUCUCAGCUGUGGGGUCUGAGUGGCUCUCUGGACUCACAGAGACUCAGAGACACGGACCAUCAGCAUGACGUGACGUCACUGCAGAAACGCAUCAUUCAGCUGGAGGGACAGUUACAGUUACCUCAGACUGAUUGCUCAGGAGACUCUCGCUGAAUGCAGGAACUGAGUUCUUCAAGCGUCUGUGUUCAGGAGCGUCUGAGGAUGACGGAUCAUCACAGAGACAUGGAGCGACUGAGACACACUCUUCCCGUCCAUCCGGGGACGUCAGCACCUCUCAUCACAGAUUUCUCUCCAGCGUUAGCCAGUACACACCUGACCCCCGCUGUGAACCUGCUGCCCGCCUCACCCUCAUCAAACAUAUCGCUGAGAAGGUACAGAAACAUACGUUCAC